This is a long non-coding RNA of Brassica napus (rape), 2623 nucleotides long. RefSeq lists it as uncharacterized. The record is from RefSeq and is a predicted model, not a curated record. The transcript is spliced from 2 exons. Lineage: Eukaryota; Viridiplantae; Streptophyta; Magnoliopsida; Brassicales; Brassicaceae.
UGUAUGUUUGAUUUAGAAAUGGAAGUGGAUGAUAUAACUGUGCACACAGGCUACAAAGGUGGACUUGAGACAAGUAGGUUUCUGAGAAGCAGAGUUGAAAAUGGUUGUGGACUGACAAGAAGAAAGAAGGAUCCAGAAUUCAUCAAAAACAUCUCUUGUUUGUCUUUAAGUUUCAUAUGACACAGAAUUCUCCGAGAACAGCUUGCUAGUUGCUAAGUCUUCCGGCAAUGAUCAUGGUUUGUUCUCUCAUCUUCCAUAUCUCAGUUCAAUAAUUUAAUCAUUUUCGAAGUCUUACAAACACCAGAAUCUCUAUUCUUUGCUAAAGUUUAUCUUUUUGCCCGGUUCUUGGAUAAAGUUUGGCUUUUUCCUUGUUUUUGUUCACCUAUAUUCUCUAUGUUACGAUUUUAAGUCUUUGCUUGGCAACAUUUUAUGUAUUUACUCUGUUUCUUGUCUGUUUUGGUCAUGAAGAACACCUGGCCAAAGUUUUUUCUUUGAUUUAUUCUUGUCGUGUUCUGGCUUGUAGUGGCGGCUUCAACUACGGAUAAAGCUGUAGCUAAACUGCCAAAUGCACCAAUUUUCUCAUGUUAAGUCCGGUUUAGAUAAAAGUAUGGUGCUUUGAUUGUUACGACAGCAGAGAGGGAGCUUGGAACCAUGAGCUUGAUUCAUUGACACAGGUUGAUCUCAACAACUGCGAAGUUUCUUUGCUUUCAUUUUAGUGGUUUGCCUUUUCCUUAUGUGAGAAAGUGGGGUUAUGGUUAUACUUAAGCAAAUCCAUAUUUUAGAGCUUGAUGCUUUUAAUUCAUGUUUACAUGUAUUGACUUUGUGUGUUUUAAAUUUUUAAUGGAAAACUAUAUGAUUGUUCAAUAAGUGGAAUCAGACUAUAUUUAAAAAUUUGAUUGUAAAUAACAUUCUUUUAUGAUUUUUCAAUGAAUUUGAAAUUUCAUAAUAAAAUAAAAAUUAUGUUUAGGAAUUAAAUUAGCAUUUGUGGUUUGAGGUUUAGAUUUAAUAUUUGAAACUAAUUUUAUAAAAUAUUAAAUUUUGAAUUUAAACUUAAGAUUUGAGAUUAAAAUAAUAAAAUAUCUAUGUUUUAAGAGUUGUGUUUAAAGUUUAGGGUUUCAACCCUAACCCCUAAACCUAAUUUUAAAACUUCAAUGUUUUCAUGAUAUAGCUUUAAUCUUUAAUUUGAAUUCAAAAUUUAAUCAUUUUAAAAAUACAAUCUAAACUUUAAAUUAUAAACCUCAAACACUAAAUCGUAAAUUUACACCAUAAACAUUGCAUACAAAUAUUUAAAACUCAAAUCUUUAAUUAUUUGACUUUAAAUUUUUAAAUUUAAUCAUAAAGUCCACUAUUAAAUCAUAAAAUCUAAAGAUAACACAAAAGUAAUAUGAUAAAAAGAAAAUUCAACACUAAUAAUAAAUUAUAAAAAUAAAAUAAAAAACCUGUUUACCUUAAGUUCUAAACCCUAAACAUGCCCUAAACCCUAACUACAUAUCUCAAUACCCUAUAUCUUAAAUUCCAUUUUAUACAUAAAUCUUCAACUUUAAACAUUUUAAUUCAAACAUUUGGAUUAUAUAUCAUACAGAAAUAUUCAAGUUUAAAGAUUAUAAUACAAACCCUACAUAUACAUACCCCUAGCCUUACUUAUAACUUCAAACCCUAUAUCAUAUUCCAAACUCUAUACAAAAAGUAUUAAAUCAUAACACUUUAAAAUUAUAACACUUAUUUUAUACUAAAUUAUGAAAUUAUACAAAGUAUAAAAUCUAAAUAAAAUCAGUAUAUUCAUAAUAUAACUUCAAUCCCUAAACUCCAAACCACAUACUUCAUAAGAAGAUAAUUUGUACUGUUUUUUAUGAGCCAUUGAUUGAUUUUUAAAUCAAAGGUCCAAAAUCAAUCUCCUAUCUAUCUUUCCCCCUUGUUUUCUAUUGGUUUGGCGCGGAUCACCCUCUGCACCGUUAGAUCAUAACGAACCAACGCUUGAGAUUUUUUUUUCAAUUAUUUUCUGAGAACAGAUCGCGUUGGAGAGAGAUAGAGAGAGAGGGGUCAGAAAAAAAGAGAGAAUGCUCGACGCCCUAGCAAACCUCGGCCUCCUUCUCUUCUUCUUCUUCCUCUUAAAUAAAGUGGAGGAGGCUGAAGAAGCUUGGUGGUGGUGGUCUCGCCACCGACUCCAUAUCAGAAGAAGCAUGGCUCGAGACGAGAAGACAAAGGGCUGGUGAUUCAAGAACAGAACAUAACUCGUGCUCUGUUUUUUUCUGUGGUGAUGCGACGACAGCACUCUGGAGGCUGAAGGCGGAUGCUCUGGAGGCUAGAGGCUGGAGGCUGGAGGCUAGAGGCGGAGGAAUUAGGGUUGUAGGCAGAGGCUUAGAUUUUUUUUUUUGUCGACAGGUAGAGAUCGAAAUCUGGUUAUCAUGAGUUGGAAACAGAAGAGGAUUUAGGUUGAUGAUAUGGGUGAUGAUAUGGAUGAUGAUAGCGUAUAUGUUAGGGAUGAUUGUGAAGGUUUAUUAGUGGUAGAUUGAUGAUAUGUUGUAUGCUUGUGUGAUGGUUUGUAUGAAUGUGAUAAUGUUGUGUUAUGGGAUUUGAAUAAUUAUAUUGAUUUUUGGAAUUUUAAUAAUUUAUAUUGUUUUUA